Molecule: long non-coding RNA, 105 nt
Organism: Etheostoma spectabile (orangethroat darter)
Lineage: Eukaryota; Metazoa; Chordata; Actinopteri; Perciformes; Percidae
Exons: 3
Source: RefSeq, a predicted model, not a curated record
AGAGCAGCCACACAGUCUUUCCUUAAUCUAUAUCAACAACGUUUCAUUGACGGGAUAGUUCCGGUGCCGCUGGACGUCCCUCACCUUCCACUUUCUUUGUGUUUC